Molecule: ribosomal RNA, 16 nt
Filed under: Sphyrna corona (scalloped bonnethead)
Lineage: Eukaryota; Metazoa; Chordata; Chondrichthyes; Carcharhiniformes; Carcharhinidae
Description: partial 28S ribosomal RNA
Source: RNAcentral
UUACGACCUCAGCUCA